AUCUAAACCACCAAUAUCAGCAUAGGAUUCCAAUGGAGCCUUCUCAACCUUCAUAACAGAUACCAUGGGGUCGACCUCGUCUUGUAGAAGCCCAACAACAGAAAGGACCUUGUUGUGCAUGAGAAUGGCACAUCCAGGCUCCAGCUGGUCUUUAUCGACAAACGACAAGAUCCCAACAUAGUACUCCGGACCGACAGACGACGACACAAUCGCAUGAUUCUCAUCAAUCAGCUCCUCCAGAUUCCCAACGCUCAUCGGCGACCCACGAAGGUCGUCGA
RNAcentral lists this unclassified non-coding RNA (278 nucleotides) under Hevea brasiliensis (rubber tree). Lineage: Eukaryota; Viridiplantae; Streptophyta; Magnoliopsida; Malpighiales; Euphorbiaceae. The record is from RNAcentral.